This 541-nucleotide transfer RNA is filed under the name uncultured cyanobacterium. RNAcentral describes it as "partial miscellaneous RNA". The stretch from base 212 to 284 matches the Rfam family "tRNA". The record is from RNAcentral. Lineage: Bacteria; Bacillati; Cyanobacteriota.
CAGGGAGACAACAAAAUGUUUAAUAUUAUUAUUUUGUCACCUUAGGUCGAUCGGUAUCUCACGUUCUUAAUUUAUUAAGAAUUUCAUUUCCUGAGUUUUUCUAGGUCACACCCAUUAUUUUUCCUGGGCCAUUAGCUCAGGUGGUUAGAGCGCACCCCUGAUAAGGGUGAGGUCCCUGGUUCAAGUCCAGGAUGGCCCAUAUCUCUAUGUUGGGGGUAUAGCUCAGUUGGUAGAGCGCCUGCUUUGCAAGCAGGAUGUCAGCGGUUCGAGUCCGCUUACCUCCACUGAUUACCACCUCUUGCAUAAUUUGCAAAAAAGGAAAUUUUUGAGUUGUGAUCAAAUUCUGAAAGAAUCUAGCUUCCUAAUGAAACCAUUAAGAUGCUGGACUCAUUGAAUUAAUUUCAUUGUUUUCAGAGAACCUUGACAACUGCAUAGAUUAUUUUUAAAGACAAUAAGCAUCUUUAAUGAUGCAGAUUUAUUAUUUGUGCGAAUGCAUUAAUAACAACUCUAUUAAGCUGAUGCUUCAAUUUUUGAAGUUAUU